CCUACGGGCGGCUGCAGUGGGGAAUAUUGGACAAUGGGGGGAACCCUGAUCCAGCCAUGCCGCGUGUGUGAAGAAGGCCCUCGGGUUGUAAAGCACUUUCAGUGAGGAAGAACGCCUGGUGGUUAAUACCCAUCAGGAAAGACAUCACUCACAGAAGAAGCACCGGCUAACUCCGUGCCAGCAGCCGCGGUAAUACGGAGGGUGCGAGCGUUAAUCGGAAUUACUGGGCGUAAAGCGCGCGUAGGUGGCUUGAUAAGCCGGUUGUGAAAGCCCCGGGCUCAACCUGGGAACGGCAUCCGGAACUGUCAAGCUAGAGUGCAGGAGAGGAAGGUAGAAUUCCCGAUGUAGCGGUGAAAUGCGUAGAGAUCGGGAGGAAUACCAGUGGCGAAGGCGGCCUUCUGGACUGACACUGACACUGAGGUGCGAAAGCGUGGGUAGCAAACAGGAUUAGAUACCCGAGUAGUC
Molecule: ribosomal RNA, 465 nt
Filed under: Vreelandella stevensii
Lineage: Bacteria; Pseudomonadati; Pseudomonadota; Gammaproteobacteria; Oceanospirillales; Halomonadaceae
Description: partial 16S ribosomal RNA
Rfam family: Bacterial small subunit ribosomal RNA
Source: RNAcentral